Molecule: ribosomal RNA, 253 nt
Filed under: uncultured bacterium
Lineage: Bacteria
Description: partial 16S ribosomal RNA
Rfam family: Bacterial small subunit ribosomal RNA
Source: RNAcentral
UACGGAGGUGGCAAGCGUUGCUCGGAAUCACUGGGCGUAAAGGGCGCGUAGGCGGGGAGGUAAGUCGGGUGUGAAAUCCCUCGGCCCAACCGAGGAACUGCGCCCGAGACUGCUUCUCUUGAGUCCCGGAGAGGAAGAUGGAAUUCCCGGUGUAGCGGUGAAAUGCGCAGAUAUCGGGAGGAACACCGGUGGCGAAGGCGGUUCUCUGGGCCUGACCUGACGCUGAGGAGCGAAAGCGUGGGGAGCGAACAGG